GCAAUGAGAGUUGUACUAAGGUAGCGCGAUAAUUUGUCUCUUAAUUGGAGAAUGGUAUGAACGGUUUGUCGCGGAUUAAUUGUCUCUGGGAAAUAAUGUGAAGUUUCCUUUUAAAUGAGAAGGUUUAAAUUAAACUAAAAGACGAGAAGACCCUGUCGAGCUUAAUAAGUUUUGUGGAUUUAUUUUGGUAGGUUUAUAAAAUAAACUGUAGUUGGGGAAAACUUGGCUUAAAAUAAUAGGCUUGGGAUUGGCGGUGAUCCUUUUUGAAAGAUAAUCGGCAAAAGCUACCGCAGGGAUAACAGCGUAAUCUCCCUUGAGAGGUCCUAUUGAGGGGGAGGUUUGCGACCUCGAUGUUGGAUUAUA
Molecule: ribosomal RNA, 363 nt
Filed under: Tapes literatus
Lineage: Eukaryota; Metazoa; Mollusca; Bivalvia; Venerida; Veneridae
Description: Tapes literata partial 16S ribosomal RNA
Rfam family: Bacterial large subunit ribosomal RNA
Source: RNAcentral